Long non-coding RNA from Esox lucius (northern pike), 800 nucleotides. The record is from Ensembl. NCBI's taxonomy places the organism in Eukaryota, Metazoa, Chordata, Actinopteri, Esociformes, Esocidae.
UGCUGGUGCCUGGUGGCAUAUUGGGGUGGUAACGGAUGUAUCUCUUUAAAGUGAUGUAUGCAUUGUCUCUCCCAAGGGUUGAGGACGUGACCAGAUACUAAAAGGUUGUUAGGUCAAAUCCCUGACCCGACAAAUGAAAUAAAUCUAUCCUUCUGUCCUAGUUCAAAGGGUUUAUUUUAGGAUGUCAAUCCCAAUUGCUAACCGGGUCAUUGCUGCAAACAACAACGCUCAAUUCAUUUAUAGAGAAAAUGUAAACUAGACAUAUUUUCCCAGCAUCCAAGAAACCAGUUUGAGGUGAUGACAUCUGGUGGCUCUACCGCGUUCCUCCUCCUGUGCCGUCUAUUUAUCAGAGCACCUGUCGGUCGAAGGCCUCCUUGUCUACUGACCGGGAAAGGCUCCUUUCAAGCAGAUGAACUCCUACUGCUCCCGGCGGUCUGCCCCCGCCUGCCCUGACCUGUUGCUACUGUUUCUGGUGCAAGUGCUCGCGUCACACUCCCUCUCCGGACCACUUCACUGACUGGCUGCACGCACAUACAAACCAACAUACAAACUUCUGAACGCGGGACAGACAAUGUUUGUUUCAACAAUCGAGACUCUGACUCUUUCCUGGUCACUCAGGCUCUCUCACAAGGGUUAUGUUCAUGCUACAUAAUGACAUUUCUUUCUAACCUAAUCGUAGUGCCGUGGGAUCACCAUUCAAAUGUCAUUUUAAAAACUCUGUAAAUUGCUCCAUGUGAUUUCCCCUGCACUGAUUGUUUUACUGCUGAUGUUAUCUGGCAAUGUCCGUAUGCAUCCGGGCC